Molecule: ribosomal RNA, 476 nt
Filed under: uncultured bacterium
Lineage: Bacteria
Description: partial 16S ribosomal RNA
Rfam family: Bacterial small subunit ribosomal RNA
Source: RNAcentral
UGGGGAAUAUUGCACAAUGGGCGCAAGCCUGAUGCAGCCAUGCCGCGUGUGUGAAGAAGGCCUUCGGGUUGUAAAGCACUUUCAGCGAGGAGGAAGGUGGUGAACUUAAUGCGUCAUCAAUUGACGUUACUCGCAGAAGAAGCACCGGCUAACUCCGUGCCAGCAGCCGCGGUAAUACGGAGGGUGCAAGCGUUAAUCGGAAUUACUGGGCGUAAAGCGCACGCAGGCGGUUUGUUAAGUCAGAUGUGAAAUCCCCGGGCUCAACCUGGGAACUGCAUUUGAAACUGGCAAGCUAGAGUCUCGUAGAGGGGGGUAGAAUUCCAGGUGUAGCGGUGAAAUGCGUAGAGAUCUGGAGGAAUACCGGUGGCGAAGGCGGCCCCCUGGACGAAGACUGACGCUCAGGUGCGAAAGCGUGGGGAGCAAACAGGAUUAGAUACCCCUGGUAGUCCACGCUGUAAACGAUGUCGAUUUGCGGU